UAAAAGGAGUAUUUUCUCGGGUUCGCACUGAAAACACAGUCUUCAGCUCCGACUCGGAGCAGGUUGGAAUGCGUCCAACUCCGCUUGAAAAUCCAGAUCAAUGUCUCCCGGACUGUGGUGCCAUCCCUUAGCCAUCACGAGCCCCCCACCACCCCUACCCACACACCCACCCUGGUCACACCUUCUCCACUUCACGGCGGUGACGUGGAGAGGACAGCGGCACCAACGUCGCCACACAGGAGGAAAGAGUCUCCAGGAAGAUCAGUGGAAGAAGGUGGUCUGAGGAAUGCAAGAGGGAGGCUGUGUUCACACGGUCGAUGCGGUCAGCCACCAGUGGGAAACCCUUUGAAGCGGCGGGAUUUUGAUGGGAUGAGAUGCGACGAGCUCUCAUCGAUUGUAGCAGAUGGUAAACUGG
Long non-coding RNA from Gasterosteus aculeatus aculeatus (three-spined stickleback), 415 nucleotides. Lineage: Eukaryota; Metazoa; Chordata; Actinopteri; Perciformes; Gasterosteidae. The record is from Ensembl.